RNAcentral lists this ribosomal RNA (708 nucleotides) under Aucuba chinensis. RNAcentral's name for it is "eukaryotic LSU rRNA". The stretch from base 292 to 447 matches the Rfam family "5.8S ribosomal RNA". The record is from RNAcentral. Lineage: Eukaryota; Viridiplantae; Streptophyta; Magnoliopsida; Garryales; Garryaceae.
AUUUAGAGGAAGGAGAAGUCGUAACAAGGUUUCCGUAGGUGAACCUGCGGAAGGAUCAUUGUCGAACCUACAAAGUUAACAGCGAACCUAUCAACACAUCGAGUGAGGCACGGGGGGUGCGUUCGGUCUCUCCUCCCUUGCCACACGUCGAGACGCACCAUCCGGUGUGUUCUCGGCAAAACAACGAACCCCGACGCGAUUCGCGUCAAGGAACUAAAACACAAGAGCUUUCCUCGCCAUGCCCCGUUUACGGUGCGCUUGGGAGGUGUUGGCUUCUUUUGAAACAAAAAUGACUCUCGGCAACGGAUAUCUCGGCUCUCGCAUCGAUGAAGAACGUAGCGAAAUGCGAUACUUGGUGUGAAUUGCAGAAUCCCGUGAACCAUCGAGUCUUUGAACGCAAGUUGCGCCCGAAGCCAUUACGCUAAGGGCACGUCUGCCUGGGCGUCACGCAUUGCGUCACCCCCCAACCCCGGGUCCCCUUAUAUGGGGUCAUGGAUGUUUGGGGGUGGAGAAUGGCCUCCCGUGCGCUACCAUGUGCGGCUGGCCCAAGAUAAAGUCCCUUUCGUCGGACAUCACGACAAGUGUUGGUUGCAAAACUAAUUUAUAUUGUCGUAACGGAUACCGUCGACGGGUGACAGUCACAUGACCCUGAUGCACCCUGUGCUACAAUUGCGACCCCAGGUCAGGCGGGACUACCCGCUGAGUUUA